This 552-nucleotide ribosomal RNA is filed under the name uncultured bacterium. RNAcentral's name for it is "bacterial SSU rRNA". It matches the Rfam family "Bacterial small subunit ribosomal RNA", at positions 773 to 1319 of the family's 1533-position model. The record is from RNAcentral.
ACGGAAUAGAUACCCGGGUAGUCCAUGCCGUAAACGUUGGGCACUAGGUGUGGGGGACAUUCCACGUUUUCCGCGCCGUAGCUAAACGCAUUAAAGUGCCCCGCCUGGGGAGUACGGCCGCAAGGCUAAAACUCAAAGGAAUUGACGGGGGCCCGCACAAGCGGCGGAGCAUGCGGAUUAAUUCGAUGCAACGCGAAGAACCUUACCAAGGCUUGACAUGGACCGGAUCGCUGCAGAAAUGUGGUUUCUCCUUUUGGGGCCGGUUCACAGGUGGUGCAUGGUUGUCGUCAGCUCGUGUCGUGAGAUGUUGGGUUAAGUCCCGCAACGAGCGCAACCCUCGUUCCAUGUUGCCAGCACGUGAUGGUGGGGACUCAUGGGAGACUGCCGGGGUCAACUCGGAGGAAGGUGGGGACGACGUCAAAUCAUCAUGCCCCUUAUGUCUUGGGCUUCACGCAUGCUACAAUGGCCGGUACAAAGGGUUGCGAUACUGUGAGGUGGAGCUAAUCCCAAAAAGCCGGUCUCAGUUCGGAUUGGGGUCUGCAACUCGACCCC